RNAcentral lists this ribosomal RNA (770 nucleotides) under uncultured Streptococcus sp. Its description in RNAcentral is "bacterial SSU rRNA". It matches the Rfam family "Bacterial small subunit ribosomal RNA", at positions 28 to 776 of the family's 1533-position model. Lineage: Bacteria; Bacillati; Bacillota; Bacilli; Lactobacillales; Streptococcaceae. The record is from RNAcentral.
GACGAACGCUGGCGGCGUGCCUAAUACAUGCAAGUAGAACGCUGAAGAGAGGAGCUUGCUCUUCUUGGAAGAGUUGCGAACGGGUGAGUAACGCGUAGGUAACCUGCCUUGUAGCGGGGGAUAACUAUUGGAAACGAUAGCUAAUACCGCAUAACAAUGGGUGACCCAUGUCAUUCAUUUGAAAGGGGCAACUGCUCCACUACAAGAUGGACCUGCGUUGUAUUAGCUAGUAGGUGAGGUAACGGCUCACCUAGGCGACGAUACAUAGCCGACCUGAGAGGGUGAUCGGCCACACUGGGACUGAGACACGGCCCAGACUCCUACGGGAGGCAGCAGUAGGGAAUCUUCGGCAAUGGGGGCAACCCUGACCGAGCAACGCCGCGUGAGUGAAGAAGGUUUUCGGAUCGUAAAGCUCUGUUGUAAGUCAAGAACGAGUGUGAGAGUGGAAAGUUCACACUGUGACGGUAGCUUACCAGAAAGGGACGGCUAACUACGUGCCAGCAGCCGCGGUAAUACGUAGGUCCCGAGCGUUGUCCGGAUUUAUUGGGCGUAAAGCGAGCGCAGGCGGUUUGAUAAGUCUGAAGUUAAAGGCUGUGGCUCAACCAUAGUUCGCUUUGGAAACUGUCAAACUUGAGUGCAGAAAGGGGAGAGUGGAAUUCCAUGUGUAGCGGUGAAAUGCGUAGAUAUAUGGAGGAACACCCGGGUGGGCGAAAGCGGGCUCUCUGGUCUGUAACUGACGCUGAGCUCGAAAGCGUGGGGGAGCGAACAGG